RNAcentral lists this ribosomal RNA (253 nucleotides) under uncultured bacterium. Its description in RNAcentral is "partial 16S ribosomal RNA". It matches the Rfam family "Bacterial small subunit ribosomal RNA", at positions 524 to 776 of the family's 1533-position model. The record is from RNAcentral.
UACGGAGGGAGCGAGCGUUGUUCGGAAUUACUGGGCGUAAAGCGCACGUAGGCGGCUUAUUAAGUUGGGUGUGAAAUCCCAGGGCUUAACCCUGGAACUGCAUUCAAAACUAAUAGGCUAGAGACUGAUAGAGGGUGGUAGAAUUCCUAGUGUAGAGGUGAAAUUCGUAGAUAUUAGGAGGAAUACCGGAGGCGAAAGCGGCCACCUGGAUCAGUACUGACGCUAAGGUGCGAAAGCGUGGGGAGCAAACAGG